ACUUUCAACAACGGAUCUCUUGGUUCUCGCAUCGAUGAAGAACGCAGCGAAUUGCGAUAAGUAAUAUGAAUUGCAGAUUUUCGUGAAUCAUCGAAUCUUUGAACGCACAUUGCGCCCUUUGGUAUUCCAAAGGGCAUGCCUGUUUGAGCGUCAUUU
Molecule: ribosomal RNA, 156 nt
Filed under: uncultured fungus
Lineage: Eukaryota; Fungi
Description: 5.8S ribosomal RNA
Rfam family: 5.8S ribosomal RNA
About the family: 5.8S ribosomal RNA (5.8S rRNA) is a component of the large subunit of the eukaryotic ribosome.
Source: RNAcentral